This 497-nucleotide ribosomal RNA is filed under the name uncultured bacterium. RNAcentral's name for it is "partial 16S ribosomal RNA". It matches the Rfam family "Bacterial small subunit ribosomal RNA", at positions 28 to 507 of the family's 1533-position model. The record is from RNAcentral.
GAUGAACGCUGGCGGCGUGCCUAAUACAUGCAAGUCGAGCGAACAGACGAGGAGCUUGCUCCUCUGACGUUAGCGGCGGACGGGUGAGUAACACGUGGAUAACCUACCUAUAAGACUGGGAUAACUUCGGGAAACCGGAGCUAAUACCGGAUAAUAUAUUGAACCGCUUGGUUCAAUAGUGAAAGACGGUUUUGCUGUCACUUAUAGAUGGAUCCGCGCCGCAUUAGCUAGUUGGUAAGGUAACGGCUUACCAAGGCAACGAUGCGAAGCCGACCUGAGAGGGUGAUCGGCCACACUGGAACUGAGACACGGUCCAGACUCCUACGGGAGGCAGCAGUAGGGAAUCUUCCGCAAUGGGCGAAAGCCUGACGGAGCAACGCCGCGUGAGUGAUGAAGGUCUUCGGAUCGUAAAACUCUGUUAUUAGGGAAGAACAAAUGUGUAAGUAACUAUGCACGUCUUGACGGUACCUAAUCAGAAAGCCACGGCUAACUACGUG